CCUACGGGUGACAGCAGUGAGGAAUAUUGGUCAAUGGGCGCGAGCCUGAACCAGCCAAGUCGCGUGAGGGAAGACGGUCCUAUGGAUUGUAAACCUCUUUUGUCGGGGAGCAAAAGACGCCACGCGUGGCGUUCCGAGAGUACCCGAAGAAAAAGCAUCGGCAAACUCCGUGCCAGCAGCCGCGGUAAUACGGAGGAUGCGAGCGUUAUCCGGAUUUAUUGGGUUAAAAGGGUGCGCAGGGGGAAGAUCAAGUCAGCGGUAAAAUUGAGAGGCUCAACCUCGGCGAGCCGUUGAAACUGGUGUUCUUGAGUGAGUGAGAGGUAUGCGGAAUGCGUGGUGUAGCGGUGAAAUGCAUAGAUAUCACGCAGAACUCCGAUUGCGAAGGCAGCAUACCGGCGCUCAACUGACGCUCAUGCACGAAAGUGUGGGUAUCGAACAGGAUUAGAUACCCCUGUAGUC
Molecule: ribosomal RNA, 459 nt
Filed under: uncultured bacterium
Lineage: Bacteria
Description: partial 16S ribosomal RNA
Rfam family: Bacterial small subunit ribosomal RNA
Source: RNAcentral